UACGUAGGUGGCAAGCGUUGUCCGGAAUUAUUGGGCCUAAAGCGCGCGCAGGCGGCCUCUUAGGUCGGAUGUGAAAGCCCACGGCUCAACCGUGGAGGGUCAUUGGAAACUGGGGAACUUGAGUGCAGAAGAGGAAAGUGGAAUUCCACGUUUAGCGGUGAAAUGCGUAGAGAUGUGGAGGAACACCAGUGGCGAAGGCGACUUUCUGGUCUGUAACUGACGCUGAGGCGCGAAAGCGUGGGGAGCGAACAGG
RNAcentral lists this unclassified non-coding RNA (253 nucleotides) under uncultured Caryophanales bacterium. RNAcentral's name for it is "uncultured Bacillales bacterium contains 16S-23S intergenic spacer region". It matches the Rfam family "Bacterial small subunit ribosomal RNA", at positions 524 to 776 of the family's 1533-position model. Lineage: Bacteria; Bacillati; Bacillota; Bacilli; Caryophanales. The record is from RNAcentral.